CGUACUGGUCCCCCGUGGGAAUCAAACCCAGAACCCUGGCGUUGCAAACACCAUGCUCUACCAACUGAGCCACACGGCUCAGUUGCAUGCAAUAAGAAUAUGAAUUAUGUGAUGCUUGUGAUUGCAGGAUAUGAUCCCGCAGCCAAAGCUGCUAAAUAUGGUAUGCCAAGUGGGGCGGGCAUCGGUGGAGAAGGUGUGCCAGCACCUAUAGCGACUCCAAGACCAGGUGUGGGCGUGGGUGGUGGUGUUGGAGGAACUGCCAUUGAGCGCACUGACGUCCCAGUGGGCACAGGGAUACCUAUCGCAGGCAAACCAGCAGAGGAUUCAUCUCUAGAACCCAGUGGAACUCCCAUCCCAGGUGCCACAGGAGUAACUGGAGUUGGGGCUGGGGUUCUUCAACCUAGUGGUAAGUCAUUUAAAUAG
This 423-nucleotide long non-coding RNA is filed under the name Salmo trutta (river trout). RNAcentral describes it as "lncRNA (ENSSTUG00000047137.1)". Lineage: Eukaryota; Metazoa; Chordata; Actinopteri; Salmoniformes; Salmonidae. The record is from RNAcentral.